Molecule: ribosomal RNA, 509 nt
Filed under: uncultured bacterium
Lineage: Bacteria
Description: partial 16S ribosomal RNA
Rfam family: Bacterial small subunit ribosomal RNA
Source: RNAcentral
GAUUAGUGGCGCACGGGUGAGUAAUAUAUAGAUAACGUGCCUCUUANUCUGGGAUAGCCAUUGGAAACGGUGAUUAAUACUAGAUACUCCUUCUUAUUCCAAUAUAAGUCGGGAAAGUUUUUCGCUAAGAGAUCGGUCUAUAUCCCAUCAGGUAGUUGGUAGUGUAAGAGACUACCANGCCAAUGACGGGUANCGGGUUUGAGGAGGAUGAUCCGCCACACUGNUACUGAGACACGGACCANACUCCUACGGGAGGCAGCAGUGAGGAAUAUUGCACAAUGGGGGAAACCCUGAUGCANCANCNCCGCGUGGAGGAUGACGCAUUUCGGUGUGUAAACNCCUUUUAUGANUCAAGAAAAUGACGGUAGCUCAUGAAUAANCACCGGCUAACUCCGUGCCNNCAGCCGCGGUNAUACGGAGGGUGCANGCGUUAUUCGNAAUCACUGGGCGUANAGGACGCGUAGGCGGGUUGCCAANUCUGAUGUGAAAUCCUACAGCUCAACUGUAGA